Molecule: long non-coding RNA, 888 nt
Filed under: Ananas comosus (pineapple)
Lineage: Eukaryota; Viridiplantae; Streptophyta; Magnoliopsida; Poales; Bromeliaceae
Description: long non-coding RNA (ACOM_LNC026594)
Source: RNAcentral
AAAUAAAAUAAAAAGGUCAUUAAAAUUAAAAAAGUCGCGAAAAAUAGUGCUGCUGGAUAAGUGCAGUAAAUGGCAUGUUUGGUUGCCUGAAAGUAGCUGAAGUAAAAACAAAAAAAUCACUUUUGCAAAAGUGACUUUUACAAAAGUGACAUUUCAGUUCGAUUGUUUGGUUGACUAUAAAGCAAAUCAUGAAAAGUUAUAGUUUUAUAAUUUUGAUUCUUUAAUUAUACACAUAAAGAGGUGAAAAUAUAAACUAACGACUUAUACUCGCAAUUUAAAUUUAAAUUUAAAUUUAAAUUUUGAAUUCAAAAUUAUAUUUUAAAAGUUAAAUUUAAACUUAAAUCUGAAUUAUAUUUAUAAUUAAAAUUUAAGAUAUAAAUUAAAUUUAUAAUCUGAAUUUAAAGUUUAAGUUAUAAUUCAUAACUAAAAUUAAAUUCUAAAAUAAAUGUUCAACAUAGAAUUUACAACAUUUAUUCAAAAUUGAAUUCAUAAUUUGAAUUUACAAUUUGAAUCAUAUUUUAAUAGGAAAACUUCAAAAAACCCCCCUGUGGUUUCGCACUUUCUCACUUUAGUACCUUGUGGUUUAAAGUGUAUCAAUUUGCCCCCAUGUGGUUUUGUUUUUAUCUUUUCGGCAGCUUUUUCCUUAAUAUUUCGUUAAAUUAUAUACAAAAAACUUCAGAUACCCACCUUGAUUUAUCGAAUAUUUACUUUAGUACCCUUUAAUUUUAACUUUGUCACUGAUUUAAGAAAAAAAAUAAUAAAAUUGAUACUAAAUAGCAAAAAACAAAACCACAGGGGGACAAAUUGAUACACUUUAAACCAUAGGAUACUAAAGUGAGAAAGUGUGAAACCACAGGGAGUGUUUUUGAAGUUUUCCCUAUUUUAAUU